GCAAGUACAACAUAUGUUGCUUUCACAGAUCAACAGAGAUAUAAACUGCGUGCUAACUCACAGAGAAUCUAAGGUCGGUUUCAGUCAUCCUAUUCACGAUGAAGGGUGCAGCUGUCUUCGCGUUGUUGAUGCUUGUGUCCUCUAUCCAUGGAAACGCCUUUACGGACUUCUUCAAGAAUGUUGGUAACAAGCUCGGCUCGUUCUUCACCACUGUCGGCCAUUCCCUGCUACACCAGUUGGACACAACCGGAGUGGAUCUGCUCAACGCAGGCGUAUCAGCGGGCAAACAGUUGUAAUCACAGGGCCUUCAGGCUUUAGCUCUGAACACUGUAAACGCACUCCAGGAUAGAAAUAACACUAAGCGAGACUUAAG
Haliotis rubra (blacklip abalone) is the source of this 373-nucleotide long non-coding RNA. RefSeq lists it as uncharacterized. The transcript has 3 exons. The record is from RefSeq and is a predicted model, not a curated record. Lineage: Eukaryota; Metazoa; Mollusca; Gastropoda; Lepetellida; Haliotidae.